Long non-coding RNA from Hemicordylus capensis (graceful crag lizard), 4806 nucleotides. RefSeq lists it as uncharacterized. The record is from RefSeq and is a predicted model, not a curated record. The transcript is spliced from 3 exons. Lineage: Eukaryota; Metazoa; Chordata; Lepidosauria; Squamata; Cordylidae.
CUUUGGGAGGAACUUAGUGCGGGGGACGGGGGGCACACGUGGCGGGAGGAUACCUGGAGAUGUUGAGUUGAGUCUCUCGGAUGAGAUGGUCCAGCCUUCUGAAGGCACCAAAAUCCCAGUGGGGGUUGCUGUUGUAGAGAUGCUGCUUCUGAUAGACAGGGUAGUGACUGGAGGCUCGCUCUGGGGAGAACAGGGGCAGAAGUGCCACUAUUGAAAUAGCCUGGCUUCAUAUACUUUCCAGACUAAGAUGCAGUGUGGAAUUAGGCUCCUUCUGGAGAGCAAAGACAUCACACAGGAGGUGAAGGGAGGGCAGGAAAAUGGACACUAAGCUGAGAAGCCAAAGAGGCAGAAGGCUGAGUCAAGGAGGGGAAGGGGUCAGGUGGGGCUGGGCUCCAGGGAACAAUAGAUAAUGGGGGAAAGGACUUGAGGAAAAAGAGGCAAACAGGAUCUGAGGAAAAGAGGAGUCAAUUUAUUAUUUAUUUGUUUAGCAUAUUUUUAUACCGCCCCAAAUGCAAGUUCUCUGCGUGGUUUACAAGACAAUAAAAACAACCAAUAAAAAGAUUAACGUAUUUCAACAAUUAAAAUUUUAGAAGUUAAAACUAUUAAAACAAUAUCUAAUUAAAAGCCUGGGUGAACAAAUGCGUCUUGACUGCCUUUUAAAAAGUUGUAAGAGAUGGGAAAGCUCUUAUUUUAGCAGGAAGCGUGUUCCAAAGCAGCAAUGGAGAAGGCCGUCGCCGAGUAGCCACCAGACGAGCCGGUGGAAACUACAGACGAACCUCUCCAGAUGAUCUCAAUUGGCGGUGUGGUUCAUAGCAAAGAAAAGGUCAGGCUAAAGAAGAAGUCAAGCUACAACCUGACACAGGACUAGGGAGAAGAGGAGCUAUAUGAUAAUGGAGUAUAACCACCAGUUGUUGUAAGUCUGUGCAGGAGGCUGAUUGACAGCAGGACCGGAGAAACCCCUGCAGAAGAGACCAGGAAACCCUGUUUAGAAUGGAGGAUGGAGCAGACAAAGCCAGAGAGACAGUUAAAGUCAGUUGAGAGCAGAGAAGGUAGACUGGUGUGAAAAGCAAGAACUUGUUCAGGGGAAACCCCUACAGACCUCAGGAGAGGCUGUGCAGUACCUCUGAAACAAGCAAGGUACUGUCAGAGGUACUGUCUCUCCAGUACCUCUGAAACAAGCAAGAUACCUGAACCCCAGUGUGGAGGAAGUCUGUCUUCAUCUAUGUAAGCCGUGCCAUCUUCUUGUAACCUCUACACUUUUGAACCCGAAACCAAUAUGCUUCUGAACUACUUGAACUUAUAACCACCAGGCUGAAAAAGAACUAUCCUUGAAUACAACGCCUGUUAUUUGUUUUAUCAAUUGCGUUUAUUUCCUCUACCACACCACCAGAAAAAGACGACUUUCCUCAGCUACUACAGAGCAAAGAGUGGAGGAAAGAUGUGACUUGGUCUCAGGUCCGGUCAACAGAUAUGAGCAGUGGCAGCAAAAAGCAAAAAGGUGGUGGCAGCAAUAAGGUCCACCUUGAGCUUGAGCUUUCGGAGAUGAAAAAUGUAAUGGAUUCAUCAAGACAGACUGGAGUAGCUCCUGCAUUGCUCCUAAACAUGCCACUCUCAUGGCCCGCAGUGACGUCAUAGCUCCAGGGUGGGACAGCCGAAUGGUGUCAGAUUUAGAAAGCAUGCCACUCACCGGGUUUGGAUGUUGAAGAGCUUCCGCAAGGGAAACAUCCAGUCUGAGCAGGGAGAUGGUUGAAGGUCCCAGCUGGGCAAGGGUAGCAUUCUUCCAGGUGCUUUGCACGGCUGCUGUUCCCAUAAGUGCCAGGGGGGCAUGGCACUGGGGCAGGGGUCUCGGGAGGGCAAUAAUACCCUUGAGGGCAGGGCUGCUGGAAGUAACUGGCAGUGCCUGGGGAGGGAAACCAGUGGGAAUUCCUUAGCACUAGAAGGCCGUGGGAGGAUCUUUCCUGGACUUAAGUAUACACUUUAACAGGCAACUGCUGACCAGUUUAUCUUUGGGCAGCUGCUAAGCAGGGCCUGGAAUCAUUCACUGCAUCACUUGCAGGGAACUUGAAGAAGUGAUAUUGUGAUGAAAAGAGAAUGGAUUGUGGGCCAGCUUCUCCACUCCAGCCUCAGGUAGCACUGUUUGCAAACCCCACACCCACAGCUAUGACUCCUGCCUCUGGGAUGGCAACUCCAAGGCCAGCUGGUAUAACUUCCACUUAAAGCAGGGGUUUUCAAACCUGGGUCUCCUGAUGUUGUUGGACAACUCACACCAUCCCCAGUCACCAUGAAAGGUCACUUUGGCUGAGGAUGAUGGGAGUUAGACAGACAGACAGACAGACCUUAUUAUGGUCAUUGACCAGUGCAGAUGAUGGGAGUUGUAGUCCAACAAUAUCUGGAAGGCCAUGGCGGCUGAGGAUCACGGGAAUUGUAGACCGAUACUAUCAGGGGACCCACAUUUGAGAACUGCUGACUUAAAGCAUCUCACAAAGCAGAGAAGGGAAAGAUUCAGGAAAGCAGCUGGCAGGCAGUGUCCAGACAAUGUUGGAGAGGCAAGACCAACAGUUCAAGACAGCUUCAUAUGCCCACAUCUAAAAUGACUUUGGAAACUCCCCUGAUUUUCAAAAGUGGUUGCGGGAGGAGGCUGUUCUACAAGAACCACAAAUCCAGAGCCCUUUCGGGUACACAGAAGAACCAGCCACAUUGUUAUUUGGAUCCUGGCCCAAAUAUGUAGGGUGGCAUUUCUCGUAGGGAAGCUUUUAGGACGGCUUCCUCCUGCACCCUGAAGAGGCAGCAGUGUGCAGAAGCCAAACUCUGCUGCAUGACAACUCUCCUGGGUCACAGCACAGAAUAAUCACCUUCUGGACAGCUGAAACCUGGUGGGCAGGGCAGACAGGGCUCCAAGCCAUGGCUGGUGCUGCCACCGUAGGUGCCUGCUUCACAGGGCCUGCAGCUCUUCUCAAAAGAGUCCCGAAGGCCUGUCGUGUUCAGGGGUGUAAAUCCAGCUUGGCAUAAGAGUGGGUGGGCACUGCCAAGAGGGCAAUAGUGAGGAUGGGUACAUCUGGAAACAGAAGCAGUAGGGAAUAGGAACAGUAAGAAAAUGGCUUCUUCCAAAGGUUUAUGAAAAGUCUACCAGAAGGUUACAAGUUCGAUCCUGACCAGGGGCUCAAGGUUGACUCAGCCUUCCAUCCUUCCGAGGUCGGUAAAAUGAGUACCCAGAAUGUUGGGGGCAAUAUGCUAAAAUCAUUGUAAAUCGCUUAGAGAGCUCCGGCUAUAGAGCGGUAUAUAAAUGUAAGUGCUAUUGCUAUUGCUAUUGCUAUUGCUAUUGCUACCCUGCCCCUGCCCCCUCCAGGCAUUGUGGGAAUUGCCUCUGCUCAGAGCUCAAACAAAUACUUACUUAUAUCCACAAAUCUCCACAAUGUUCAUUAACUUCAUUUUGCCAUUCAAGUUUUACAUGCAAAAUUGCAGUUUGAAAUUCAGAUCCGGAAUGAAAACACUGCUCUUUGACCUGGUGACCCCCAGCUUGGACAAUCAUGCUGAGAUGGGCCUCACCUUGAAGUUUACAUCCAUCUGACACUAUCAUCACACACAGAAUGGUGUGGGAUUCUGCAACUCUGAUAGGAAAUCAUUUUAUGGAAAGCACACAGGUUGCGAGAGACAACACAGAUCAUCAGCGCUUGGUUCUACAGCAGGAAUUUUUGAGUUGAGAAGUUUUCACUGCACAUGAAAGUGAAAUAUACUCACAAUUGUCCCGGAGCGUCAUAUGUAGCUGACCCUUCAGGACAGGAAUAGCCACCGGGACACAGAGGUGGGACCCCUGUAAGAGGCCCACAGUAACAGCCAGGUCGGCAUAUGGAUGGAUCAGAUGAACCUGGUGAGGAAAAUAAAUCUCUGAGCCCAUGCAACAUUCUGGGGGACCGUAAAACUCACCGUCUUCUGUGCAGGCAUCACAAUGCAAUUCCAAUGUGCAUCUUUCAUGGUCCAACAGAUAGGACAUUAAAAUGUUGCAAAACUACGAUAUAAGAGAACAUAUAUUAAAAGACGAUCUGGAGCUGGUUACUCAUUUAAUGACUGCAGCCAGAAUGUACACAUCCCCUACAUGGAAAAAUGCAACAUUACCUACUACUGAGGAUUGGCUGAGUCAUUUGUGGUCUAAGAUUUGUGAAGAAGUCCACAUAUUCUAAACAUCCAAAAGAGAACAAUACAAUGGACAAAUAUAUGCAAGUGAGGUUUUAUUUAUUCCGUAUUGGAAUGAUAAAUGUGAAGAUCGUGUUUCUUCACAUUUGUUUUCUCUGCCAUAAAGAUAUAUUCUCAUGCAUUCUUAAAAAUGCAAAGAAUUUAAAAAGCAGUGUAACUAAGUUAUAAACAAAUAGGCCAAUCCCGUGAGACUCACUUGGCAGCAACAAGUAGCAACAUCUCACCUGGUGGGCAUUCAUAGCCCGGUUCGCAAGGUAUCCCAUGGAUGUUUGGCACGCCUGACUUUGCUGGGUCUGGGCAGUAAAAUCCAGCAGGGCAGGGGCUACAUUCCUCCAGAGACGUAGCACCAGGCUGAGUCCUAAAGGAACCAGCGGGACAAAGGAAAGCAUCCUCCGCUCCUGGACACCAGUGCCCUGGGGCACAGGGGUAGUCUCCAGUGGCCCCUGUUGGAAGAAAGAAGGGAAGCCAGGUGAAGAGAAGAGAAAAAGGCCCACUACAACAAUCUCUGCACAAAAACUGUUUGCAAAGGUGUGAUGUUUCCUGGAUCCCCUGUGACUCCAAAGCCCCUCUUUAAAGUUCUUCCCCCAUACAGAAAAAUAAAAGUUAUAUAAUGUU